This 302-nucleotide unclassified non-coding RNA is filed under the name Hevea brasiliensis (rubber tree). Lineage: Eukaryota; Viridiplantae; Streptophyta; Magnoliopsida; Malpighiales; Euphorbiaceae. The record is from RNAcentral.
GCACUAGAAUCUGCUACUAUUCCUGUAAAUUAAAAGAUAUUAGAAAUGUAUAACAAUAAUAGACAAAAUUUGAAAAUUACCAAAAGCCUUCUUACACUUGACUUCUAACUAUUAUAUGAAUGAAAUAGGGUCUAAUGACCAAAUCUCAAAUCCAAACUUUGCAAAGACUUGCAAUUUAUGCCAAUCCUUUUAAUUUUGACAAUUUUAGCCUAAUUUGUGAAAUUAGUUGCAAUUUUGUCCACAUGGUCAAAUUGAAAAAUAUAUAUAUAUAUAUUACAUAUGAUUAGAAUGAAAAACUAAUG